CGUUUAUUUGAUAGUACCUCAUUACUUGGAUACCUGUGGUAAUUCUAGAGCUAAUACAUGCUAAAAACCUCGACUUCGGAAGGGGUGUAUUUAUUAGAUAAAAAACCAAUGCCCUCCGGGGCUCCGUGGUGAUUCAUAAUAACUCAACGAAUCGCAUGGCCUUGCGCCGGCGAUGGUUCAUUCAAAUUUCUGCCCUAUCAACUUUCGAUGGUAGGAUAGUGGCCUACCAUGGUUUCUACGGGUAACGGGGAAUUAGGGUUCUAUUCCGGAGAGGGAGCCUGAGAAACGGCUACCACAUCCAAGGAAGGCAGCAGGCGCGCAAAUUACCCAAUCCCGACACGGGGAGGUAGUGACAAUAAAUACUGAUGGAGAGUUCUUUUGGAUUUUCUAGUCGGAAUGAGUACAAUUUAAAUCCCUUAACGAGGAACAAUUGGAGGGCAAGUCUGGUGCCAGCAGCCGCGGUAAUACCAGCUCCAAUAGCGUAUAUUAAAGUUGUUGCAGUUAAAAAGCUCGUAGUUGAAACUUGGGCCUGGCUGGCCGGUCCGCCUCACCGCGUGCACUGGUCCGGCCGGGCCUUUCCUUCUGGGGAGCCGCAUGCCCUUUGUUGGGUGUGCCGGGGAACCAGGACUUUUACUUUGAAAAAAUUAGAGUGUUCAAAGCAGGCCUAUGCUCGGAUACAUUAGCAUGAAAUAAUGAAAUAGGACGUGUGGUUCUAUUUUGUUGGUUUCUAGGACCGCCGU
This 740-nucleotide ribosomal RNA is filed under the name Dendriscocaulon sp. Spribille & Yakovchenko 31485. Its description in RNAcentral is "SSU rRNA". It matches the Rfam family "Eukaryotic small subunit ribosomal RNA", at positions 114 to 863 of the family's 1831-position model. The record is from RNAcentral. Lineage: Eukaryota; Fungi; Ascomycota; Lecanoromycetes; Peltigerales; Lobariaceae.